AUGUUGACAAAUGAAAAUAAUUGGACACUCCCUGCAGCUCCUGAGCCAAUUUCUGAGCCUAUUCCUAAACCAACUCCAAAGAAAAGAGGUGUUCUAUUUCUCAGUCCUGAAGAUAUGCAAGAGGCGAAGAAAUCUAUGAAAGAAAAAGGUAUAAAAGCUGAAGAUGUUAAGAAUUUACCUCCUAUUGAAGAAAUACAUGGUCUUAAUCUACCGCCUGUUGAAGAAACAUAUGAUCUUAAUCCAUUACCUAUUGAAGAAACUCAUGGUCUUGAUAACCCGACACAGGUAGUAAAGGUAAAUUCUCUCUAUAGAUUUGAUGAAGGCGAUAUUCCUCACUAUAAGUCUGCUAGACAAUGCUUAGAAGACUUUGAUAAUUUUAUUGUCAAACAAGAAAACUUCAAUGCUUAUUUUGGUAGACAAUUGAAAUACAAUUCAGAUACGCUUGAAUAUUUGGGUGAUUAUAUGUCUAGAGUUAAAGGUGAACUUAAACUCAUUACUAAACAUGCUUCUAUGGUUACCACUCAAGUAGAACAAGUACUUAAAGCUCAAAAUGAUUUGCUCAAUGAAAUGAAUAGUAAGAAAAAUGAUUAUUCUGUUAGAGUGGCUACUAGAACUGGUAGAAUGACUCAGGAACCUUUGUAUCCUGAAGGCCACCCUAAGAGAAUUGAGCAAGAUUCUCAAAGAAAUAAUAUUGAUGCACCUAGUCCUUCUAAAAAGAAGAAAAAGAAAAAUGAUAGGACUUUGCAUGCUUCUAGUGAACCUAUUGCUGAACCACCUGCGAAUCCAAAUGAUAUAUCUAUUUCUGAUGCUGAAACACAAUCUGGUAAUGAAUAUGAACCUAGUGAAAAUGUUAAUGAUGAUGUUCAUGAUGAUGCUCAACCUAGUAAUGAUAAUGAUGUAGAAAUUGAACCUGUUGUUGAUCUUGAUAACCCACAAUCAAAGAAUCAACGUUAUGAUAAGAGAGACUUUGUUGCUAGGAAACAUGGUAAAGAAAGAGAGCCAUGGGUUCAGAAACGCAUGCCUUUUCCUCCGAAACCAUCCAAGAAAAAGGAUGAUGAGGAUUUUGAGCGCUUUGCUGAAAUGAUUAGACCUAUCUUUUUGCGUAUGCGAUUAGCUGAUAUGCUCAAAAUGAAUCCUUAUGCUAAGUAUAUGAAAGAUAUUGUUACUAAUAAAAGAAAGAUACCGGAAGCUGAAAUUUCCACCAUGCUUGCUAAUUAUACUUUUAAGGGUGGAAUACCUAAGAAACUUGGAGAUACAGGAGUACCUACUAUACCAUGCUCCAUUAAAAGAAACUAUGUUAAAACUGCUUUAUGUGAUCUUGGAGACGGUGUUAGUGUUAUGCCUCUCUCUUUAUAUCGUAGACUUGAUUUGAAUAAGUUGACACCUACUGAAAUAUCUUUGCAAAUGGCUGAUAAAUCAACUGCUAUACCUGUCGGUAUUUGUGAGGAUGUGCCUGUUGUGGUUGCAAACGUUACUAUUUUAACAGACUUUGUUAUUCUUGAUAUUCCCGAGGACGAUAGUAUGUCUAUUAUUCUUGGAAGACCCUUUUUGAAUACAACAGGGGCUGUUAUUGAUUGCAACAAAGGCAAUGUCACUUUUCAUGUUAAUGGUAAUGAGCAUACGGUACACUUUCCGAGGAAACAACCUCAAGUUCAUAGUAUCAAUUCUAUUGGAAAAAUUCCAUCGAUUAUUUUUGGAGGUUUUGAAUUUCCUCUUCCUACUGUCAAGAAGAAAUAUGAUAUUCUUAUUAUUAGGGAUGUGCAUAUCCCCAUUGAGGUAACAUAG
RNAcentral lists this ribosomal RNA (1785 nucleotides) under Triticum aestivum (bread wheat). Its description in RNAcentral is "partial small subunit ribosomal RNA". The record is from RNAcentral. Lineage: Eukaryota; Viridiplantae; Streptophyta; Magnoliopsida; Poales; Poaceae.